UACGAAGGGGGCUAGCGUUGUUCGGAAUUACUGGGCGUAAAGCGCACGUAGGCGGACAUUUAAGUCAGGGGUGAAAUCCCAGAGCUCAACUCUGGAACUGCCUUUGAUACUGGGUGUCUUGAGUAUGGAAGAGGUGAGUGGAAUUCCGAGUGUAGAGGUGAAAUUCGUAGAUAUUCGGAGGAACACCAGUGGCGAAGGCGGCUCACUGGUUCAUUACUGACGCUGAGGUGCGAAAGCGUGGGGAGCAAACAGG
Molecule: ribosomal RNA, 253 nt
Filed under: uncultured bacterium
Lineage: Bacteria
Description: partial 16S ribosomal RNA
Rfam family: Bacterial small subunit ribosomal RNA
Source: RNAcentral